GACGAACGCUGGCGGCGUGCUUAACACAUGCAAGUCGAACGGAAAGGCCCUGCUUGCAGGGUACUCGAGUGGCGAACGGGUGAGUAACACGUGGGUGAUCUGCCCUGCACUUCGGGAUAAGCCUGGGAAACUGGGUCUAAUACCGGAUAGGAGCCAUUUUUAGUGUGAUGGUUGGAAAGUUUUUCGGUGUAGGAUGAGCUCGCGGCCUAUCAGCUUGUUGGUGGGGUAAUGGCCUACCAAGGCGG
Molecule: ribosomal RNA, 245 nt
Filed under: uncultured Actinomycetes bacterium
Lineage: Bacteria; Bacillati; Actinomycetota; Actinomycetes
Description: uncultured actinobacterium partial 16S ribosomal RNA
Rfam family: Bacterial small subunit ribosomal RNA
Source: RNAcentral